UACGUAGGGCGCAAGCGUUAUUCGGAAUUAUUGGGCGUAAAGAGCUCGUAGGCGGUUUGUCGCGUCUGCCGUGAAAGUCCGGGGCUCAACUCCGGAUCUGCGGUGGGUACGGGCAGACUAGAGUGAUGUAGGGGAGACUGGAAUUCCUGGUGUAGCGGUGAAAUGCGCAGAUAUCAGGAGGAACACCGAUGGCGAAGGCAGGUCUCUGGGCAUUAACUGACGCUGAGGAGCGAAAGCAUGGGGAGCGAACAGG
RNAcentral lists this ribosomal RNA (253 nucleotides) under uncultured bacterium. Its description in RNAcentral is "partial 16S ribosomal RNA". It matches the Rfam family "Bacterial small subunit ribosomal RNA", at positions 524 to 776 of the family's 1533-position model. The record is from RNAcentral.